CAUGCAAGUCGAGCGGACCGACGGGAGCUUGCUCCCUUAGGUCAGCGGCGGACGGGUGAGUAACACGUGGGUAACCUGCCUGUAAGACUGGGAUAACUCCGGGAAACCGGGGCUAAUACCGGAUGCUUGAUUGAACCGCAUGGUUCAAUCAUAAAAGGUGGCUUUCAGCUACCACUUACAGAUGGACCCGCGGCGCAUUAGCUAGUUGGUGAGGUAACGGCUCACCAAGGCGACGACGCGUAGCCGACCUGAGAGGGUGAUCGGCCACACUGGGACUGAGACACGGCCCAGACUCCUACGGGAGGCAGCAGUAGGGAAUCUUCCGCAAUGGACGAAAGUCUGACGGAGCAACGCCGCGUGAGUGAUGAAGGGUUUCGGAUCGUAAAAAUCUGUUGUUAGGGAAGAACAAGUACCGUUCCGAAAUAGGGGCGGCACCUUGACGGUACCUAACCAGAAAGCCCACGGCUAGCUACGUGCCAGCAGCCGCGGUAAUACGGUAGGGUGGCAAGCGUUGCCCGGAAU
Molecule: ribosomal RNA, 522 nt
Filed under: uncultured Bacilli bacterium
Lineage: Bacteria; Bacillati; Bacillota; Bacilli
Description: bacterial SSU rRNA
Rfam family: Bacterial small subunit ribosomal RNA
Source: RNAcentral